RNAcentral lists this ribosomal RNA (440 nucleotides) under uncultured bacterium. Its description in RNAcentral is "bacterial SSU rRNA". It matches the Rfam family "Bacterial small subunit ribosomal RNA", at positions 340 to 773 of the family's 1533-position model. The record is from RNAcentral.
UACGGAAGGCAGCAGUGGGGAAUAUUGCACAAUGGGCGCAAGCCUGAUGCAGCCAUGCCGCGUGUAUGAAGAAGGCCUUCGGGUUGUAAAGUACUUUCAGUCGUGAGGAAGGUGUUAAGGUUAAUAACCUUAGCAAUUGACGUUAGCGACAGAAGAAGCACCGGCUAACUCCGUGCCAGCAGCCGCGGUAAUACGGAGGGUGCGAGCGUUAAUCGGAAUUACUGGGCGUAAAGGGCACGCAGGCGGUUAAUUAAGUUGGAUGUGAAAUCCCCGGGCUUAACCUGGGAAUGGCAUUCAAGACUGGUUAGCUAGAGUCUUGUAGAGGGGGUAGAAUUCCAUGUGUAGCGGUGAAAUGCGUAGAGAUAUGGAGGAAUACCGGUGGCGAAGGCGGCCCCUGGGACAAAGACUGACGCUCAUGUGCGAAAGCGUGGGGAGCAAAC